UACGAAGGGGGCUAGCGUUGUUCGGAUUUACUGGGCGUAAAGGGCGCGUAGGCGGCCACCGCAAGUCAGUUGUGAAAUCUCUGGGCUUAACCCAGAACGGUCAGCUGAUACUGCGGGGCUAGAGUGCAGAAGGGGCAACUGGAAUUCUCGGUGUAGCGGUGAAAUGCGUAGAUAUCGAGAGGAACACCUGCGGCGAAGGCGGGUUGCUGGGCUGACACUGACGCUGACAGCGCGAAAGCUAGGGGAGCGAACGGG
This 255-nucleotide ribosomal RNA is filed under the name uncultured bacterium. Its description in RNAcentral is "partial 16S ribosomal RNA". It matches the Rfam family "Bacterial small subunit ribosomal RNA", at positions 524 to 776 of the family's 1533-position model. The record is from RNAcentral.